RNAcentral lists this unclassified non-coding RNA (437 nucleotides) under uncultured Ascomycota. RNAcentral describes it as "sequence contains ITS2". The record is from RNAcentral. Lineage: Eukaryota; Fungi; Ascomycota.
AACUUUCGACAAUGGAUCACUGCCACAUGCUGUUCGAUUCGAACGAGUUUCUUUACAUCGAUUAGGAGGCAUUCCAUGAUCGAAAAAUUUUCUCAUCAUUGGCCCGUCACUUCCCGCCGCGAGUUUUUCAACCGUGCGGGCAGCGGCCUCGCGUCGAUCGCACUCUCCAGCAUGUUGCAAGGGGCCUCCAACGCGCCGCUUGACCCACUCGCGCCGAAGACGCCGCAUCACACUCCGAAGGCGAAGGCGGUCAUCUGGCUGUUCAUGGAAGGCGGCCCGAGCCACGUCGAUCUGUUCGAUCCCAAACCGAAGCUCACUGAGUUGAAUGGAAAGCCGAUCCCGGAAUCCUUCGGCAAGCCGAUUACCGCGAUGGGUACCGCAAGCAACACCCUCAUGGCCUCCCAGCGCACAUUUAAGCAUAUCAAUAAGCGGAGGCU